GAUGAACGCUGGCGGCGUGCCUAAUACAUGCAAGUCGAGCGAACAGACGAGGAGCUUGCUCCUCUGACGUUAGCGGCGGACGGGUGAGUAACACGUGGAUAACCUACCUAUAAGACUGGGAUAACUUCGGGAAACCGGAGCUAAUACCGGAUAAUAUAUUGAACCGCAUGGUUCAAUAGUGAAAGACGGUUUUGCUGUCACUUAUAGAUGGAUCAGCGCCGCAUUAGCUAGGUGGUAAGGUAGCGGCUUACCAAGGCGACGAUGCUUAGCCGACCCGAGAGGGUGAUCGGCCACACGGGAACUGAGGCACGGUCCAGACUCCUACGGGAGGAAGCAGUAGGGAAUCUUCCGCAAUGGGCGAAAGCCUGACGUAGCAACGCCGCGUGAGUCAUGAAGGUCUUCGGAUCGUAAAACUCUGUUAUUAGGGAAGAACAAAUGUGUAAGUACCUAUGCACGUCUUGACGGUACCUAAUCAGAAAGCCACGGCUAACUACGUG
This 497-nucleotide ribosomal RNA is filed under the name uncultured bacterium. Its description in RNAcentral is "partial 16S ribosomal RNA". It matches the Rfam family "Bacterial small subunit ribosomal RNA", at positions 28 to 507 of the family's 1533-position model. The record is from RNAcentral.